UGCUCUUAAAGACCAGAAAGAUAUCUAAGCAGGUGACUGACUCUCUUAUUGGUACAGUGGCUGGCAUUCAUUAUGCUACUGAGAAUGAAAUAAAAACCCUUUUGUGUUACUCAUGUGCUACCUUUUGCAGACCAAAGGAGCAGUCACUUAAUGGCUAGAGCUGGCAAAUUAAUAAUAAUGGACCAGACUCUCAUCCCAUGCAAUCAAAUAGAUGCUAUUCUCUACUAAGUCAUGUAGCAUAAGAGUCUCACCUAAUAACAGUAAUAAAUAAUGGGGUAAUUUCCAUGCCAGCUGCUUCCGUCCUUCUAACCAGGGUUUUACAUCAUUGCAGUUCUACCUACAGGAAACAAUGACAUUCUCAGACCUAUUUUAAAAGUCUGCACCUUUCGUUUUUUUAUUGCUACAAUUUUUAUGGGUUGUCUCAGUCAAGGGUUGAAUUUUUAGGUCCCCAAGAGAGGGAAAUGUUAUCAAAACAAUAUUGUGAGUGGAACUUGAUGUGACAACUAUGGAAAAGGAAUUCAGUACAAAUGUACCUGUUAUUAGGAUUUGUUGGGCAUUUUGCAUACAACUCUUUUUCAUGGCAAUUUAUAUGAUGUUUGUGGAAGAAUAUGUACUUUGUCAAUAAUGUUUGUUUUGCUAGUGGUUUGGAUCUGCAAUUGGUUGUGUGGAUUGGCUAACAUUGUGAAAUUUGGUGGAGUAAACUUACCUGGGGUUUUGAACCCAAGAGUGUGUAAUAAUUUUAUAAAUGUAAUAUUACAUAUAUCAAAUGUUUUUGAUAUCUAAUAUUUUAGUAUCAAAAUAUUACAUUUUAAUGUUUGGAGAUAGCUCAGAUGAAAAGUACAGUAGAGUUAAUGUGUGGAUGUAUAAAUUCCCUAUUUUUUUCCUUUGGAUUUCAUCUCUGUGUCUUCUUGGACAAUGCUUUUGCUGUUUAUCUGUUGUUUUACCACCAUGCUAGUGCUCUAGAAGUUAAUGUGCCUUAACCUUCACCUCCUUGGAAUUCCUAGGCACUUGGUUUAUACUUUAAUUCUAACAUGUCACUGCUUGGUUGCUUCUGGGACUCACUAUAUACCUUUUUGUUCUGCCUAUGUGGCUGCAAGCCUCUUUUCUACCUCAUGAUGUAGGUUAUUAUUAUUCUCAAUGGACGCAUAUGGAAACUGAAGCACAGAGAAAUCUGUGUACCUAGGGUUGCAGAGCUGGUAGGUACAGAGCCAAGAGUGGAACCCAGGCAGUCUGGCCCAGAGUCCAUAAUCUUAACCACAUUCUGCUGCCUCUCCUGUGAACAGCUAGCACAGUGCCUUAGACAUGGUUUGUGGAAUAACUUUUUUUUUUUUUUUUUUUGCAGACACAGUGUGCACACAUAAGAUGGUACUAUGAACAAAAAAUGUUUCUUUGGAAAUGAAGCAGAUGAGUUCCAGGAUGCUUUUCAAGUUCUGCAUCUGUAAAGGUCCUUUAGACCAUUUUGGUCCUUCUGUCACAGCAAUGCUGCUCUGGAUGUCUGGAUCUCUGUAAGAGAAAAAAAGUUAUUUUGAGCUCUGUCAUCUAAAGCAAGGACAGCAAAUGCAUGACCCAGGACAAGCCUAGGACAAAUACGAGUCGUCAAUCACACUAUGUUUUCCUGCUGAUCCUGGAUUGGGCCUCAGAAUAAUUCUCAGUACCAUGUUCCAGGUAGCUUCGACCAAUAGGGCUGUGCUCUGGCCCAAGUCAUUCUGCUGGCAAGUCUGAUUAGAGUGAAAUAUAUUACAGAAGAAAGAAGGUGUUAAUUUCCAAUGUGGUUGCUCCUCUGAAGCGAUUACAAGAAAGAAGGAAAAGGAGAACAUGAUGUAAAGGGAAGAGAUAAUAGUUAUGGCGUCAUGCUUAAGAAUGUGUACUGUUAAACUGAUAAAAAUUUUAAAAGUCAUUCAUUAAGAGUGUACUGGGUAUCUGCCGUAUCAGGCACUGCUUUCUAUGUGCUGGGGACAAAAAGAUGACUAAUAUGCAGUAGCAAAAACCUUCCCCAAUCUAGUCGGGGAGCCUUUAAAAAUAAAAAUUUGCAUUACCAGAUGAUAUAUCCUAUCUGAGCAGGAUGUGUUUUUGAGGACUUCAUGGAAUGGGAUGUGAAAGUGUGACCAACCGUUGCACUGAAGAAGCAGGUUUGGGGAAUAGGAUAUGAACUAUUAGAUUAUCUGAAGAAGACGAGCCUUCAUUUCUAAAGGCUAAGCUUUAUCCCCAGCAAAGAUGAAGGAGUUCUUUUGUGUUCCAAAUAUUUAAACUCUACAGCACUUGCCCAUAAAGUUUUAAUUCCCAUAGUAAGAGAAAACUGACUGUUGGACGGUGGCAUAGUGGUAGCAGAAGAGGCACCAGGACUGAGUGUCCCCUUAACUGUAGAAGCUGGUGCUGAGCAGGAUGGAAAGGACAGAAUGUCAGAUGGAUGAUACUUGCACUGAUGGCUGUGGAGGAUGACCGUAAUAGUGGCAUUCUGGAGUGGGAGUGAAUUUCCCUGGGGCCAAGAUGACAUGGAGAAAUGAGGCCAGCAGAGGACCGGCAGGCCACUCUG
This is a long non-coding RNA of Sapajus apella (tufted capuchin), 2533 nucleotides long. RefSeq lists it as uncharacterized. The transcript is spliced from 3 exons. Lineage: Eukaryota; Metazoa; Chordata; Mammalia; Primates; Cebidae. The record is from RefSeq and is a predicted model, not a curated record.